UAUGAACGCUGGCGGCAUGCCUAACACAUGCAAGUCGAACGAAGGCUUCGGCCUUAGUGGCGCACGGGUGCGUAACGCGUGGGAAUCUGCCCUCAGGUUCGGAAUAACAGCGAGAAAUUGCUGCUAAUACCGGAUGAUAUCGCGAGAUCAAAGAUUUAUCGCCUGAGGAUGAGCCCGCGUAGGAUUAGCUAGUUGGUGUGGUAAAGGCGCACCAAGGCGACGAUCCUUAGCUGGUCUGAGAGGAUGAUCAGCCACACUGGGACUGAGACACGGCCCAGACUCCUACGGGAGGCAGCAGUGGGGAAUAUUGGACAGUGGGCGAAAGCCUGAUCCAGCAAUGCCGCGUGAGUGAUGAAGGCCUUAGGGUUGUAAAGCUCUUUUACCCGGGAUGAUAAUGACAGUACCGGGAGAAUAAGCUCCGGCUAACUCCGUGCCAGCAGCCGCGGUAA
Molecule: ribosomal RNA, 449 nt
Filed under: uncultured bacterium
Lineage: Bacteria
Description: partial 16S ribosomal RNA
Rfam family: Bacterial small subunit ribosomal RNA
Source: RNAcentral